This 72-nucleotide transfer RNA is filed under the name Verrucomicrobiota bacterium. Its description in RNAcentral is "Verrucomicrobia bacterium tRNA-Val". It matches the Rfam family "tRNA". Rfam says of the family: Transfer RNA (tRNA) molecules are approximately 80 nucleotides in length. Their secondary structure includes four short double-helical elements and three loops (D, anti-codon, and T loops). RNAcentral also lists the same sequence under 1 other name. Lineage: Bacteria; Pseudomonadati; Verrucomicrobiota. The record is from RNAcentral.
GGGCGGUUAGCUCAGUGGUAGAGCGUCUCGUUUACACCGAGAGGGUCGGGGGUUCGAACCCCUCACCGCCCA